UACGUAGGGGGCGAGCGUUGUCCGAAUUUACUGGGCGUAAAGCGCGCGUAGGCGGGCUCUUAAGUUGGGGGUGAAAUCCCGGGGCUCAACCCCGGAACUGCCUUCAAAACUGGGAGCCUAGAGCUGUGGAGAGGGAAGUGGAAUUCCUGGUGUAGCGGUGAAAUGCGUAGAUAUCAGGAGGAACACCCGUGGCGAAGGCGGCUUCCUGGCCACACGCUGACGCUGAGGUGCGAAAGCCAGGGUAGCGAACGGGAUUAGAUACC
Molecule: ribosomal RNA, 263 nt
Filed under: uncultured bacterium
Lineage: Bacteria
Description: partial 16S ribosomal RNA
Rfam family: Bacterial small subunit ribosomal RNA
Source: RNAcentral